This is a non-coding RNA of Lentithecium fluviatile CBS 122367, 134 nucleotides long. NCBI's taxonomy places the organism in Eukaryota, Fungi, Ascomycota, Dothideomycetes, Pleosporales, Lentitheciaceae. The record is from the annotation of a GenBank genome assembly.
CGCUUGGUGUAGUUGGUUUAUCACGUUCGGCUGUAAUAUCCAUUGUUACCGAAAGGUAGGUGAUAAAUGUAACUCUAAGCGAGCGACUCGGGCUAACACAUCAAAAAGGUCCCUAGUUCGAUUCUGGUACGCCA